CAAGGCUGAGGUGAACCUCUGGCCUUCCAGUUGAGGUACAGGGGUCCUUUGCUGGCCCCAGAUGUGGACAGUAUCCUCUCGAAUGCCCACCACUGGGAACCCUUAAGUCCCUCAAGGUCUUGGUCUGUCACCCAGGCUGGAGUGCAGUGGUCCAGUCAUGGCUCACUGCAGCCUCAACCUCCUAAACUCAAGUGAUCCUCUCGCCUCAGCUUCCCUAGUAGCUGGGACUGAAGUCUUGCUUCACCCUACCCAGCUAAUUUUAAAAAAAAUUUUUUUGUAGAGACAGCAUCUUGCCAUGUUGCCCAGGCUGGUCUCGAACUCCUGGAUUCAUACUAUCCUCCCACCUCGGCCUCCCAAAGUAUUGAGAUUACAAGCAUGAACCAUUGCA
Molecule: long non-coding RNA, 388 nt
Organism: Homo sapiens (human)
Lineage: Eukaryota; Metazoa; Chordata; Mammalia; Primates; Hominidae
Gene: DNAJA4-DT
Product: DNAJA4 divergent transcript
Source: Ensembl